ACGUAGGGGGCGAGCGUUGUCCGGAUUUACUGGGCGUAAAGGGCGUGUAGGCGGUUGGAUAAGUCUGAUGUGAAAUCUCAUGGCUCAACCAUGAGACUGCGUUGGAAACUGUCUGACUGGAGUUCGGCAGGGGUUACUGGAAUCCCCGGUGUAACGGUGAAAUGUGUAGAUAUCGGGGGGAACACCUGUGGCGAAGGCGGGUAACUGGGCCGCAACUGACGCUGAUACGCGAAAGCGUGGGGAGCAAACAG
Molecule: ribosomal RNA, 251 nt
Filed under: uncultured prokaryote
Description: partial 16S rRNA
Rfam family: Bacterial small subunit ribosomal RNA
Source: RNAcentral